Molecule: transfer RNA, 99 nt
Filed under: Nocardioides bruguierae
Lineage: Bacteria; Bacillati; Actinomycetota; Actinomycetes; Propionibacteriales; Nocardioidaceae
Description: tRNA-Thr
Rfam family: tRNA (bases 1-71)
About the family: Transfer RNA (tRNA) molecules are approximately 80 nucleotides in length.
Source: RNAcentral
CGGUGUAGCUCAGUUGGUAGAGCGCCUUACUUGUAAUAAGGAUGCGGGAACGCUCAACACGCCAACCGACAGGACGAUUGUCAGCCAUUGUGUCAGCCA